RNAcentral lists this transfer RNA (72 nucleotides) under Bacteroidota bacterium. Its description in RNAcentral is "Bacteroidetes bacterium (bioreactor metagenome) tRNA-Arg". It matches the Rfam family "tRNA". From Rfam's summary of the family: Transfer RNA (tRNA) molecules are approximately 80 nucleotides in length. Their secondary structure includes four short double-helical elements and three loops (D, anti-codon, and T loops). Further hydrogen bonds mediate the characteristic L-shaped molecular structure. tRNAs have two regions of fundamental functional importance: the anti-codon, which is responsible for specific mRNA codon recognition, and the 3' end, to which the tRNAs corresponding amino acid is attached (by aminoacyl-tRNA synthetases). tRNAs cope with the degeneracy of the genetic code in two manners: having more than one tRNA (with a specific anti-codon) for a particular amino acid; and 'wobble' base-pairing, i.e. permitting non-standard base-pairing at the 3rd anti-codon position. Lineage: Bacteria; Pseudomonadati; Bacteroidota. The record is from RNAcentral. RNAcentral also lists the same sequence under 2 other names.
GGUCCCGUAGUACAAUGGAUAGUACGUAAGCCUCCGGAGCUUAAGAUUCAGGUUCGAUUCCUGAUGGGACUA